UAGUAGAAAAGCUGCACAUCCUCUGAUUCAUCAACUCCUAUAUACCUGGUUGUACAAUCUCAAAACUACUUCAAUCUUUCCCAAGUUAAUGCACCAGAAAUUAACUUACUGUUACAAAAAUAUUGAGUUACCCACCCGGUUUCGAGUUCAAAUGGCAGAGGUCCUUCGAAUCCUGGGAGAAACUUAACAGGGGAACCAGCCGAAGCAAGGUUUGAACAUAAUUGCACAAGAACUAGCGGCAAAAUCAGGUAGCUGAAGAGAGAGGAUCGAAUGAGAAUGCGCAGCUUCCCAGUUGAGCAGCUUGGCCUAACAUGUUCUGUCAUCUCUUUACUUGGCGGAGUAACUGUAGUUUUCCAACUCCAACAAUGGAUAUGCUUACAAUUCUGCUGAUGCCCGGCACUGACGCUCACUCUGGCUGUUUCUUCUCACAUCUUCUUUCCAUAAUAAAUAGAUUAAAAACUGUGGCUCCUCCAGAGUCCAAACGUGCCUAUUCAAUUACCUAGGUAGGAGGAAGUACGAGGUGCUCUUCUCUUCUUCUUUUUUUUUUUUUUUCCCAGUGAAUAAGACAGGUAAAUUAGCUUGGACGCUUCUCGUCGGCGGACCUUGAGAAAAACGUGUCCCAGUCCCUAACGUGACCUCACUGCUUAGGUUGCUUGACAAUUGACAUUGUACUUUGACAGCAUGCAAUUGAGUUUAAACGUCGUUUUUAGCCAUUGAAGAAGCAAUGAACUUGCCCGGACCGAGCUGACCUGACGAGCUCGGCGUGCUGAUGAGAAGAGCGUGUCACAAACCUGCAAAGUGAACAAGAGAAUGAUCUCGCAGGGGAGCCCCGAGGUCGUCCCCGAGGGCACUCCGACGAUCAAAUUAGUUUUCCGAUGAAUGAGGUUCACGGGAAGUAAAAUGGUCCAGAGUAAUUGGCGAAUAGUGAGCGUACCUUGUGCAGUGGAUGUGCGUUACCAUUUAUACCUGCUUGUGAGUCCGACUUCCGUACGUUUCGGGACCUGUCACGAAUAGUCUCAAUCCCGCGCCGAGGGGAUUCUCCCCGCCCUCUGCGGGAUCGCUUCCCAGGGCUUCUCGGGGCCUGGGGUAUGUUUGUGGGCGAGCGGGGGGGCUGGUGGGAAUUACAGGGGCCGGGGGAGCUCGGCUAAGGAUUUACCAUCCGGAUGACAAGGACGAUAAAGUAUCGAUAAGUCUAAGACCACACAUUCGCCAGAAACUAGAAAAAGCGGUAGAAACUAGCCGACACAAUUGAUUCAUGUACGAUGCGAACGUGGCAUUUACACACCCGGGUGCUGUGUCAGGGACCCAAAAUAGUGGAGUAAUAAAAGACAGCUAUUUGGGGUUGGUAAACUUCAUUUGGUCCUUUGAACUCCAAAAUUUUAAUUCAGUCAGUCAAAUUGGAAAAGUUCAAUUUGGUCCUUUGAAAUACUCUAGUACUAUUUAGAUUGCUUAAUAGGAAUUUGGAUUUGUAAUACAUUAAUUAUUAAAAUAUAUUUUAAAUAUUAGAAUAAUUAGUAGCUUACAAAUGUAAAUACUUCCUAAAUAAUUUUAACUACUAGAUAGAUUUGAGAAGAUGUCAAAUCAUUUGUCAAAUCCCUUAAUUCAAACGAGUAUCAAUUUGGUCCCUAACAUAAAAUCUCAAUUUGAAGCAUGGAACUAAAUAAUUCAGGUUAGUCUCAUAGAAGUGAGAAAUUUUUUUAAUUUGGUCUUUUAAAUCUAUUAUGUUAAAAAAUAUGGGUAAAUAUGUCUUGUACUGACUAUAUAUACAAACUAUUGGGUCUAGAUACAUAUCGUGCAUAUAAAAUGUGAAACUCAAAUUCAAGUUAUGAUGCUCUAAUAUAUUUUGUCAGUGUAGCAAUUCAUCUGAAAAAUAUUAUAUCAUUAAAUUAUAGACAAAUGUUAUGUUUGUCAUCUUAUGAAACAUGUGCUCGCCUUAGUGAUUUACAUAAUAAAAAUGUAUUAGUUUACUCAUAGAGAAUCAAGUUAUGACGCUACAUUAUUUAACUAAUUCAAAAUUCCAAAAUAUUUUGAGAUAAAAUUAGAAGAAAGAGUCAAGAGAGCACAAUUUUUUCGUCGAAAAAUAAAGGUCGGUUUGCUUAUUUUUCUUACUGAAAAAUAAGGACUAAAAGUAAAAUUUAUUGUUUAAAAUUAAUAGGCAUACAACCUCCCAUUGAUUAACAUCUAUCUAAAAAUUUUGUCAUAUAAACAAAAGAGUAAAUUAUGUCAUUUAUAAUGCUAUUUGAAACAAAAAAUGGAAAUAAAGUGUUACUUAAAAACAUUAAUGAACUAACUAAGAAUAUAUGGUUAAUUUACCAGUUGGGAUGUCUGUACUAGUUGAGUACUAAUUUUAUUAAAUUCAGUAUUAUUUAGUUUUUUUUUACAGUCAAAUAAAUUUAAAAAAGUUAAAAGUCUGUCGUGUUUGGUUAAAUCGAUUGAUCAAUAAAUCGAAAACUUAUUUAGUUCAUUUAUCGAUCUUGAUGCAAAAAUAUUGAGUUGAAGCGAAUUAGUAGUUCAAUUUUAUAUUUCUCAUCUCAUGGUUAUGCUUGUAUUAGAAACCUCUAAAACAUAUCAAAUCCUUUCCUUACUUUGUUAUAUUUUCUUUUUUAUUAUUGUUUCCUUUUGUUCUUCACAAAACUCCCUAAUCUCGGCCAAUUUAGUUUAGGUGCUGAAUUACUUUAAUUUUUCUUUGCCUUUACCUCCAAUUUUUACAAGUUUGUGCUCUCACUCAUAUAAACAAAACACUCCGUGAGAAUUUUUAUAAUAUUCCAAUUCAUUUUUUAACAUUUUUUAGUAUAAAUAGGAGGGAUCGAAUCCAAAACCUUUCACUUACACUCUCUUCUCCAAACCAAUUAGCUAUAAAUAUAUAUGUUGAACUAAUUGACAGACUCGUACACUUAAGUAACUAAAGUAGAUAUGAUUUUUAAAUGCUGCUAAAAUUUGAUUUUUAAAGAGAUGGAUAAAGGAAAAAAGGAAAUAAGUUGCGUGGAGACAAAAUGAAAAUUUAGUGGAGAGAAAAUGCAUUGGAAAAAAAAAAAGUAAAGCGGGUAGAAAUAAAAUGGAUAUGCAACAAAAAAGAAAAAGAAAUGGAAGAAUGAAAAAUGAGUCAAGAGUACAGAAUAUUUACUAUAGAUCAAGAAGAGUAUUUGAUCAAAAAACUUGAAACGAGGCCAAACUUGAAACGAGCGUUAUGAUAACGAAACUGUUUUGACCUGAUAUAACAGGUAAAAACACUUUUAGCGACCAUUUGAUUACCUGUUGUACUGGUCAUCUAAAUAAAAUAGUACCUAAAAAUAUGGUUAGUAAGUUUUACAUUAAAAAUAGUAAAUUAACUCAAGAAAUUAGUAACUUUUAUGUCUCAAAAAGUAAAUUUGAAGAAAUAUGGAACUUACUUUUUUUUUUUUAAGUAAAUAACUACUCUAUAUCUAAAACUUACUUUUUGGAGAGUAAGUUUAGUUCAAAUAAUAGUAAGUUUUUAUAGACUAAUAGUAAAUAUUGUUGAUAGAAUAGUAAAUUUGGUUAAUCAUCAAAACUUACUAGUUUAUGGCAUAAAUUUACUAUUUUACUUAAAGAAACUUAUAUGGAACAAGUAUUAGGAAGUUUAUUUGAAAUAAUGCUAAGAUUUUUUAUUAAUAAUUGAAACUUAAUAUUAUAGUUAGUAAUUACUCGUAAUGUAAAUGUAUGAUACACAAUUGUACGUAUCAUUUAUAAAUGUUAUAUGUUUUAAGCAUUUUAAAUAAACUAUGAAAACUUUUUUUUUGCAUAUGACCUUAUAAAAUAUGUAAGAAUAAUUUGUCAUAUUAUAAAUUUUGAAUUAUUUUUGAAUUUGUGAAAGGUUAAAAAGUUUGGAUGACAGUAAAAAAAAAUCUUUCGAGUUAUAUAUAGAAUUGCACUUAUCUAUACAUCACAAUUUCCAUAUAUGGACACCGAUGAAUAUAAUAAAAUGGUACGUAAUUUUCAUAUAUUAAUGCGUAUGAAUUUAAUAAAAUGGUAAAAUCUUAAUAAAUUUAUUUUCUGGGUCACAAGUAUAAAAAUUAAAGUUGUAUUAACAUAGCAUAAUCUUUGAAAAUUAUAGUAAAAUUACCCAUAUGUUAAGUUCUGUGACUUUCAAACAUACUUUGUGUCAUUUACAUUAUGGAUUUGUAUCCAUAUGUUUUCUAUCAAACUUUUUUUUUAUUGGCAAAUGGUAAGUAAAUUAUUAUAAAAGGGCAUUUUAUAAUAAUCAUAAUUUUUAAUAGAUGAAUUUUAUAUAAACUGUUAAAAUUAUGAAUUCACAAACGACUAAAUCUGACUACUUUAUGGCACAUAUUAGUCUAAAUGACUAAAAAAUUACUGUAAUAAUGUGCACGUUGAUUGUUGAAUUGAAAUUUCCUUUAUUACUAGUACAAGUUCUUCUAAUCAAAGCAAAAUAAAAUCAAAUAUCUUUUCCUUUUGUAUGUAGUAGUUAUGCUUAAUAGAAAAUAAUUAAACCAUUUUUAUAAUACAUAAUUUCUCCUAAAAUUUGUAACAUUAACAUGACCUCUAACCUUGACAUCGUUAUUUAAUUUACCUUCUAAAUUUAAUUUAAUUUUCUUAUAUUAAUUGUUAUACUAAUUUUAUCAUUUUUGUUAUUAUAUUAUUUCUCAUUUUGUUUAGGCUUUUACUCUUAUUAUUUCUUGUGUCUCAAAUGUAAAUUUAUUAAAACUUUAUCAUCUUAUUGUAUUCAUAGGUGUUAAUUUAUAAAAAUUUUGAUACAUAAACAAGUAAUAUUCUAUAUAUAACUAGGAAGAUUUGUUGUUAUUAUUAUCCAAACUUUCAAACUUUUCAAAAAUUGAAAAUAAUUAAAAACUUAUAAUAGGACAAAAUUUUAUUACAUAUUUUACGAGAUUAUGUGAAAAGUCAAACUUUUUUCCAUAGUAUUUUAAAAUAUGUAAAUAAAUUUUUUUUAAAUGAUAACUAUAAUCUUGUAUUAUACAGGUAUAUUAUGAGUAUUUACUAACUAAGGUACUAAAAAUUAAUCAUUAAUAAAACAUCUUAUCGUUAUUUCAAAUAAAUUCCCUAACACUAGUUUGAAAUAUGUUUUAAAGUAAAAUAGUACAUGUGUCUCAUAAAUCAGUAAGUUUUGAUUAUUAAUCAUUUUUACCAUGUUAUCAGUAAGAAUUACUAUUUAUGUAUUAAAACUUACUAUUACUUGAAUUAAACUUACACUAUAAAAAGUAAGUUUGGGAUAUAAAGUAGUAAUUUAUUUAUUUAGAAAGUAAGUUUAAUGUUUAUUCCAAUUUACAUUUUGAAGUAUAAAAGUUACUAAUUUAUUACUGUUAACUUACUAUUUUAGAUGAAAAACUUACUUUUUUAUUUUUAAGUAUUAUCCUAUUUAGGUGGAUAGGCCUAUCAAAUAAUCAAAUGGCCGCUAAAAGUAAAUAAAAAAUAAAUUAAAAAUGGUCAUAUAAGUGUUAUCCUAUUUAUGUUUCAAAAAGUAAAUCGAAAUAAAAAUGAAUGAAAGUUACUUUUUUUAAAAAUUAAAUUAUUACUCUACAUUCGAAACUUAGUUUUGUGGGGAGUAAGUUUAGUUCAAGUAAUAGUAAGUUUUUAUAGAUUAAUAGUAAAUCUUGUUGAAAGAAUAGUAAAUUUGGUUAAUCAUCAAAACUUACUAGUUUGUGGCAUAAAUUUACUAGUUUGUUGAUUUGAAAUUUGCACCAAAGUCACUAUUUCGUUAUUACUACCACAAGUUUUUUCUAAUCAAAGUAAAACAAAGUCAAAUAUCUUUUCCUUUUGUAUGCAGUAUUUAUGUUUAGUACAAAAUUAGUAAACCAUGAUUACAUUUCAUAAUUUGUAAUGAAAUUAGUAACAUUUUCUAAAUUAAUUGGAACAAUUUGUAAAAUAUAUUAUUUUUUUACCAAUAUAGUUAGGGGUGGCAAUCGGGUCCAAAUCGUAUUGGUGUGUCGGGUUGAGAUCGGGUAUAAUAGAAAACCCGCUGAUCCGAACUUAACCUGCCAACCCGAAAUGGGUCUAGUUAAAGGGAACAGUGAUCCAUCCACCUCUUUUCGGCGGGAUUGGAAAGUUGACCUGCUUGGUUCUUCUGUGUCCAUGGAUGCAGGAAUUAACUGUUAAUAUGAGGCAGGUGCCUAGCUAAAAGUUUGUCCCAUUAUUCCUAAUUGGCAGAUUGUCAUUAAAUAGAAAGGCAGAUUGUCGUUUAGGAGUAAAAACUUCUAAUGCUCGCAGAAAUAAAUAAGAGUACGUGCUCCUACAACAGAAUGUAUGUUACACCGCCAUUAAUGUGGUAAGGGCAUCCUCCUGAACUUAAAUCACAAUUAGAAACGAACCAUAUGCUUGGUUUCAAACUCAAAAACUCAUUUCGAAAGCUCCAGAGUUUCGAAAUUCUUGCUUUAUGGAUACAAGCAAAUCACAUAAACGCACAGGUACUUGGUUAACACAGCAAAAAACUCCACGGGAAAGUUCAUGUCGUGCUUAUUUCUUAGAAGGAAAUUGCAGACUAUUAGUAUAGUAUAGCAGUCACAACACUUCCACAACACAUCUUCAAGUUUUCUGAGAUCUAUCCAGUUUAAAGCCUAAAAACCGUGUGCUGAGUAUUGUAUAACAUGGAGUAUUUGAGUUGCUUUUCGAGUUCUGCUCAUCAAGUAAGCCAGUCCAAUUUGAAGUAAACAACAAAAUCUACAUGCACAAGACAUUUGAUAUGAAAUUGGUAUUUCAAAAUAGGAGAAAACAGCUCAUUUUGAGCAUCAGAAUGAAUCUACUCACCUAUUUAUUUAGUACUUGGAAUAAACAAAGGUCCAUCUAAUUCAAAUUGGCCAACAAGUCACUAGAAAAUAGGAUUUCACCUCCUUACAUUGAAAUGCAAUGCUGGAUUUAAAGUUUCCAUGCAACGUGUUCUUCCACCUAAGGCCUAUAAUAUCGGAAUUUCAGCCUAAUUAUAAUGAACCGCACUUGCAGCAACUAGAUUAAUCUGAAAGAAGCAACAGCUGGUAGAGAAUCAGAGCAUAUCAUCAUAAGGAAAAUCAAUCAUUUGAUGCUUGCAUCGGCUUAUGUCUCUAUUGCUUGUCCAGGUUCAUGCAUGUAGUUUGAAUGUUUAACCACUAACAAAAAUAGCAACCUGAGAUUUAAUAUCAUUUACUAGCUUUUAAUAAUUGAUACUUACGCAUCAAAAUUAAGCUAGCAGGACACUAGAUAUAGCUAUCUAAGCAUGACAAGAUUACAUGGCCAAGAACUGAAUUUAGAGCACAAAGACUUUGGCUUCAGAAAUCUGAAGCAAUCAAAAGGCUAGUAACUUGAUUUGAGAAUUUGAUCACCAGCAUCAAGGGCUCUGAUAUCACUAUCAAAAGCUUCAGUUUGGAUUGAAAUUUCUGGUUUACAAACCCAAGAGCACUUGGAUGCUAACAAUAUCUGAAAUUUAAUCACCAAACUUUUUUCCAAGCAAGCUGAAAUUAUUCACAUUAAAACAAGUAAACACCAGAAAUUACAAACUAAGGAGAUUAUGUUCAGAUUUACAAUCAAAACGCAUUAAACUAUCUUCGAAGAAACUAAAAUCAUCCUAAAAGCUUUGAGCAAAGACGUGAAAAAACAUUUGUACUCUCUCAAGAAUAAAAUUCCUUAAUGGUCUUGGCUGAAAUCUGGUUCAUUCACUACAAAACCAUCACAAGAUUUGUAUUAAAAAAAAAGCCACAACAACACAUAAUCAUAGCAAAUAAAUAACAUAAAACUUAGGCGUGAAGAAGGAAAAAUGUACCUGAAUACUUUUCGUCUCCUAACAAGCUAGUGUUUUGUACAUGACUUUGGAUUAAUGAAGGAUUGCAUGCCCACAUUAAUGCCUAUACAAAUGCAAAUAGAGCACCAUUAUAUUUCAUGCCUUCACACAAAAAUAAAUAAAAGCAAGCUAUACAUUACCUGACCAGGAGGAAUGAUCUGAAACCAAUUACUAUCCAUUAAUUCCUUAUUGCUUCCAUGCUGUGAAUCUGAUUGCAAUAGGCCAUCGGAUGAUCCUAUCAGAUUCAAAUUUACAUUCUCAACAUGAUUGGGUGCCCCAACAUGAUCAUAAUUGUGAGUUUCAUAUGCAUCUGUGCACACCUUAGUACUUUUUCGUCUAUCAUGUCCAAAUGACCUGCGGGAAAAAAAUUGCCAAGCACAAUCCAUAAACAAAAAGAUUGAAUUUAUUCAUAUACUCCUUUAGUAUUUGAAAUAUCAUCUCCCUUUUAGUGAUCCCUCUUAUUUUUGAAAUCUUAACUGCUUACAUUUGGAAACUGUUCUAUGAAUUUUCUCUCCUUUCCUGACUGAAGAAGAGGGAAGAUGUGAUUCUACAAAAUCUACAUGUAUCAUAGGAUGGUAAUAAGAAUUGCUUCUGCAACACAGAUUUACAAGAGUAAUAAUGGCCAAAUUUCCGUGGCAUUGUAGACGUUACAAUGGAGUAAAAAAUUCAAGAGGCUGAUAAUAAAUUUCCAUAGAUGGCCAAAUUUCCGUGGCAUUGCAGACGUUAACAUGGAGUAAAAAAUUCAAGAGGCUGAUAAUAAAUUUCCAUAGAAACAACAUAUUCACAACAAUGAUUCUAGAUCAGUUCAGUUCAAUAACAUUUGCUCCAUCAAGCGUAUCAACUUAGAAUUCCAAAACGGGAGAAAUCUCUCUUGCCUGAAGAAUUCAAGUUAUAAAGCUCAUGUUGAGUUACUAAUACAUUAGUAAUUCUCACCCGCACAAAGUAGCAAUCACAACAUACAAAUUUCUCUUUGACAUUUCACCAAACAUCUUACAUGCAUUCACAAAUUAAUCACAUUUAACUUAAACGCCUGGUCUCAAGUCCUUUUCUAGAUGUUUCACAUGGCUAUUAAGCAUAUUUUACCCGUAGACAAUCAAAACUACAACCAUUUCCUCGAUGUUUCAACGGACAUUUUCGGCCCCAAAAUUGCAAUAAAAUCUUCAAAUUCUCAGCCUUGAUUUCCCAAGAAAAUCUUGACAAACAAAACAAAUGAAAUAUAAAUAAAUUACAGCAAUAUAAUCAAACGAUUUCAAGAGAACAUGAUGAUCUAACUUCGUCACUGCUAUUUUUCAUAUGCUCUUUGGCUGGCUACCACCGUCGCUAACCCUUUUGUUGUGUCUGCAUAUGGCAGCACUCAAACCCAACCGAACAAUGAGAAAGGAUAGAGGGAAAGUGUGAACUAAAGAUGAAAAUUUUGAAGUGAGAAGAUUUAUUCAAUUGUAACAAAGAGAAAGUGUGGACCAAAGUGAAAACCAUUGCCUAGGAAUUCAAUCGUAUCAUUGGAACUGAGAACUGAAUAAGAAGAAGGUAGAUGACUUUAAAGAGAAAGGUGAUACCCAAAACCGUUUUCAGGAACCCAAACCGUUUUUUUUACUUAAAUAUGUACAUUUUUUACUUUUAGUAUUAGUAAGUUUAAUUUAAACAUAAGUAAAUUUUGUCAAAUAAUAAGUAAAUUAAAUUACUCAAGGUCUAAAUUUCUGUUUCUGACUAAAACUUAUCUUUCAGGCAUAUACUUACUAGUUUUAAUUAAAAACUUACUAAAGUUAAUAUUAAUUAUUUUACUAUAAUAUUUUAAAAGUCGCUAAAAGAUUUGAUCUGUCACUAAAGGUAAUAGAAACCUAUAAUAGCAGGUUUCCCUAAUAUCGUUACCAUAACUAUAGGCACUGUAGCACUGUCCAUAAAAUUCCUGCAGAAAAAAGAAACCCUACAACUACAACUAGCCUUUUGCCCUUUCAUUUUAAAGUUACGGUUGCCACAUAAAUUAAAUUCUUAUUCUCUCUCUCUCUUAUUUUUUUCUCCUACUUUCUUUCUCAUGCAUCUUACACAACUAUCUAAUACAUCUCGAAUUCUCAUUAUUAUGAAAAUAAUUCCUAUCUUUUUUUUCUUUUUUUUUGUAAGUAUUAUUGAAUUGAAAUUGCCAAAUGUCAAGUUAUCGGAUCAAAUUUGUUGUCAAACUAAAUGAAGGUGAAAAGUAUGGUAGUGAUAUAGAGCAUAGACAAGAAAAUAAAAGUGAUAGUUAAAAUGGAAACCUAGAUUGAGAAAGGUUAUGUUAUUAUGCCAAUUAUGUAAAAAAAAAAUUUUGGGAUAAAAAUUGCAAUCCGAUUUACCUAGAGACAUGGGAUAUGGUCUCUAGUAUUGCUUUUAGUUGCUCCGUAUUGGUAUUUUUGGUGGGUUAGAUUAUUUUAGCAUCAACAUGGUUGCAGCCAUUUAGAUUGAGUUUAGAUAGUGAUAUUGGUCAACUUAAACAUUAAAUUUAGACAAAAAAAAUUGAGGCUAAAGAUUAGGUUGAAUACAAAUUUUAAUUGUCACAGUUGAUUUGCAUGGGAAGCUUUGGAGCAGCAAUGGUAGGUUUGUCAAAAUUGUGAGAAUGUGGGGAUUAAGUUAGUGUGUUUUCUCCCUUCUAAGUAACAAAGAGGUAUUUUAGAAUUUUGAAGAACAAAUUUAGCAGAUUGAGUCUAUAUUGUUACUGAAAUACUAAUCAUAAGGGAGGUAGGUGUAAUUUUUUAAACUAGAGAGGAGUUUUCUGCAAUAAUCAAAAACUUCAUGGGAGGUUUCUAAAAUUAUCCCUAAAUAGUAUUAAAAACAGUGGCUUCUUCAAAGUCCAAAUGUGCCUAUCCUAGGGGUGCAAACGAGUUGAAUCGAGUCGAUUUUCACCCUAAUUGAGCUAAAUCUCAACAUAAUUUUACGAAAUUCGAAAUCGAGCUCGAACUCGACAGUUCAAAGUAUCAAAUUUGAGCUCAAUAAUUAUUAUUUUAUUUUUUAAAAAUGAAUGAAAUAAUAAUUUUUUAAUAAAUAAUGAAAUAUUAGGGAUAUAUAUGUCAUUUUACUAUUAAAAUAAAAAAUAUAUAUAUAAAUAUAAUCGAAUUCGAACCGACUCACGAGCUAACGAAUUUAGUAUUUUUGAAUUCAAUUCGAAUUCGAGUUUGAUUUGGUCAACUCAAACUCGAUUAGAACUCAUGUUACCGAACUCGUAUUCGAACCGCUAGCGAUUAGUUCACAAACGAUUCGAUUCGUUUGCAACUCUAACUUGUACAAUUACCUACUUAGCAGUGAUUCCUCUAGAAUCCAAAUGUGCCUCCCUACAAUGUGCUCGUCUUCCCUUUUUUACCUGUGAAAUAAGACAGGUAAAUUAGCUUGGAUGCUUCUCGUUGGCGGACCUUUAGAAAAACGGAUCCCAAUUCCUAACAUGACCUCACUGCUUAGAUUGCUUGACGAUUGACAUGGUACUUUUGGGAGCCUGCAAUUGAUCUUAAACGUAGUUUGGCCUUCAUUUGCCACGCUAAACAAAGAUGUGUUAAAAGUCAACAUUUUUAUAAUACACUAUUGUCAUUUGUCAUUUCUUGCCUUUAUUGUUGCAAAUGUCACAUCUUAUUCACGCCAGUCCUUGCAUAACCGCACGUGGGAAAACAAGAAUAAAUCCAACAGAAAGAGUUUCUGUGAAGUUAUAUCUCAAGCCAAUAGUAAUUAACAGAAUGUAUUAUAUUUGAACGAACCCAGCAACUCGGCCUUGAAGCAUCCAUGGUCUCCAAUCAUCAACAAUUGAGUAAUUUACACAUCUUAUCCACGCUUGAGUUGCGAGGUACGGUGCAAGCAUGCCAUGGUCACCACUGAAUUGCAAGAUAUUGUACUUUCAAUACAUAUAAUUGCCUUGAAUACGUAUAAAGAUUAAGAUUACUAAUGUUGUGUAUGGCAAGCCAUAGUUGCACCAGAUCCAAUCUUAAAUACUCCCGUCAUGAAAUUUAGACAAAAUACAAAGGAACACAUAAAAAUAAGUUGCAUAUACAAAGGCACGCACCAAAAAGUAUCAUCGUUUUACAUUAGUUGUUUUUGAAAGUAUUUUUAAAAUAUUUUAUUAUAACAAAAUAUAUAAAAAGUUUUUAUUGUAGAUAUUUUUUGUAGCGUUUUUGGAGAGAUUUUUUUUUAAAAUACAUUCGAAUAACUUUUAAAAUUAAAUAAAAUAAAUUACUUUUAAAAAUUAAUACUACCACUCACAACAACCACCACUCCUACUCACCAUAACCAUCACCCCCUCCCUCCUUUCUUCUCCCCUUUCCUCUUCUUCCUCCUCUUCCCUCUUCCUCCUUCCUAGGAAGAGGGAAGAGGAGGAAGAAGUGGAGAAGGGAGAGGGAGGAGAAAGAAAAAGGGAGGGGAUGGUGGUGGUGGAUGGUAAUUGCUAUCGAUUUUUGAAGUUCAGGGUAUCACAUAAUAUGGAAUUAGGUAAAACUGUAAAGUCUUGGGCCCUAAAAUCUGACCAUUUAUUUAUAAAGGACAAAGCAGCUGCUCUAUGCCAACGUUCUUUCGGAACAUAUAAAUGCUAAACAACCCUCUUGGCAGUUGAUCAUAUAAAUUGCAUGAUCCCCAGUUCCAACUUUCAAGCCGUAACCGAGUACAAGCAAUAUUUAGCUGAAUAAAGCAGUGUGUUAAUCAACGUAUAUCAUCAGCACAAUCUGGAAAUUCUUUACAUAGAUAAGACGUGUUUCAUAUAUCCACGCCUUGUUAAUUAAUCUAUAAAGGAAUUGCAGGGGCUGGCUUAGCUUAGAACUCCAACCUCGCGCGACCUCACCUCUUGCUGACUCGAGCUUCGACUACAUUUUACUUGUGUUCUUUUUUCAGACUAUUUUGAUAAGAAAGCAGCCCCUUGAAAAUAAACAUAACUUAGACAGCGAAUUUUGGGAUGCAAGUUGCAGCCGUACUUAGGACUGGAGUUUUUGCUUAUAGAGGCUGAUAAGAUAUCCACCUUUCAAACAUUGCUUGACAUUCAGCAGGCCUGUACUCAGGAGCAGUAUGGCCUCCUCCCUGGUGAAAAUUCAGUAUGAUUGGUUCAGGUAUUUUCUCAAUUUUUACUGUUAAAUUGUGCAUUGAAGCAAAGGAAGAUGAGAAUUUCUUGCCUUUACUGUUGCAAACGUCAUCUUAUUUGCAUAGGCCCUCGUAUAACUGCACUUCAAGAAAAAUAAAUCCAUGUGAGUUGUUUCUAUUGCAGAUUUAUCUCCAAUUAGUAAAAGAUCCAUUUUGUGAACGAACCCGGCAACUUGGCCCUGUAGAAUCCAUUGGCGCCAAUCAUCUAUUAUGGAAUAAUUAAGAGAUUUUAUCCAUGCUUGAGUUCCAAAAUGUGGCACAACCAUAUCAUGGUCACCACUGAACCACAAAUUUUUACUUUCAUCAAAGACUUAAUAACAAUUAACAGAAUUGAGAGUUUACUCAAUGAUUGCACUACGUGCUAACACUUGAACUUGUGAAGCAUAGGUAUCAAACCUGUAUAUGAGCGAUCUGUAGCCUCUAAUGCUGAGGUUUGCAUGGUAUGGCAAACUAGUUCCUAUAUUCCUUAUGUACGGGUAGCGACAGUUGCAUCUUAUCCAUUCUCCAAUACUCCCCUGCCAUGUGAUUUCACAAAAUUACAUACACAGAGACAAGCAAACACAACACGCAUAUUUAGCUGCUUGUUUUCUGUUGACAUACCUUCCGGACAUGGAGGGCCUCUUGGACACUCUCGUCAUUAGCCCAAUGAUAAGCAAGUCUAUAUCCAUCCAUCUAAAACAAGCAUAGAAACAAAUCCAUAAUUGCUGCGAGAACUCAAAUUAACCACAAGAGUUGCUGCAAAUAAUCACAAUGUGUUUAUGCAGAAGUUCAUGAAGAUAUUACUAUCUUACACGACACGUAAAUGGUGCAGUAAGUUCCUGAAUUUUCAGCUCUCGAGUCUUCUUACAGAACACUUGAAUGGUCGAUCUCCUGCCAAUGAAUAAAUUGUUUGGCUUUGGGGAAGCAUAAGGACAGUCAGGCUCCAGAAUAUGUGCUGUGUCAAUGUUAGUAAGUAACUGCACAAACGCAUUGAUUACAUUAAUUUUGAAAUUGAAGACAAGUUUUUUAGUUAUCCCCUUUUCUUGGAGAGGGGGAGGGGUUUGGGAAGUUGAGUAUAUGGACUUGGAUAGUGACUAAUUUCUCAAAAUAGAGAAGCACAAAACUUGCAGAAAAGUGGUUGCUUGCCUGAUUGUAUGCCUGCAUAUUUUGUAAGCAGAGGGCAUUGCUGGGAUCUAUAUUUUGAUAUUCUCCUUUACAGGAAAGCUUCAAGGACUGUACAACAGUUAUCUUGGCCCAUUAGAAAACUAUGGAAAUUAUUUAGUACUGAGUACGUAAGAAAGUUCUAAAAGACCUCAGGUAUUCAAAGAAUAAACAACCUCAUAGAGCUCAUCAGAAAUUAGCCCCAUCCCAUGAGCAAAUUGGAUUGCAUAGUUUCCAUCCCCUGGAGUGGUGGUAGGAUUUCCUAGUAAGUAUCCCUGAAGCCAUUUGAGGGUUGUGACAAGUUAGCAGUGAAGCAUAAAUAACAAAAUAUGAGUAUAGUGUUGAUAAUGGUUGAAAGUUGCGGUUGUGGUCCGGACCGUUCCACAUCGGUCUCGGCGAGACGCAAAUUUUUGAAAUAUUUAAUAUUCUAAAAAUUGUAAAAAAAUAUGAUAAACAAAAAUAAUUAAAAAAUUAGCAAAAAUAAUAAAAAAUCAAGUUGACUCGAGACUACUCGGCCGUUUCUAUCCGUCUCAGAGACGUCUCAACCGAGUUCUUGGUGAUCCAUUAUCUCGGAUUCAUCUCGUCCCGGUAUUGGAAUGGAAAGCCCCGUUCCGGUGACGACUCGGCCGAGCCUUUGAAACAUGGUGUUGAUACGCCAGAUUGGUAAAUGAAGCGCAUCUCUUAAACAAUGGUCAACCUCAUUAUGAGGAAAAUUUGUCCAGGAAAAUAGUUAUCUUGCUAUCCCUAGAUGAAAGAGAGAAGACUGUGAAAAAUACAAACCUUAAGAUCGAUAUGUGGCUCAAUACCGACCUCAUUUCCUGCAGAGACACCAGAACAGUAGUUUUAGAGCCAUUGAAUCCUUUGAGAGAAUUCUUCAACAUGAGCAAGUGCAAGGACAUUGAACAGUGCAACUCCAAAGAGUAAUGCUUCAAAGAUAAAUAAACUGUACGCAGAUUCUGGAGGCACUUUCUAUUUCUAUUUCUCUCAAAGCUCGGUCAUUAAAUUGCUAAACAUUGACUUCAAGUGUAAGCAGGCAGUAUGUCUACUAAAGAUGCCUGGGAUAUCUAAAAUUUCAAAAGCAUUUGCAAUACCUUCAAGUCUUUUACAAAGGCUAGUAAAUAACUGUUAUCAUCGGAAUGUACUAGAGCCUAAUCAAUAAGAGGUGCCUGCAUAAAGAACCAAAUUAAGGUCCUACCAUCUGAUAUAAUUUGAGUGACAAUUGGCACAGUAAUCCCCGAGUAUGAGUCUCCACCAAUAUAGACUGGACUGGAAAUGAACUCUGGAUGAUCAACCAGCCACUGUAAAGCAAUCAACAGUUGAGAGGCACUUAGCAAAGAUGAAUAUCAUUUAUCAUCACUCUUUUCAUGUUAAUGUCAUUGAGAAGUCUACGUGCUUCAAUACAUGGAUCAUUAAAGCUUAGGUCACCAGCAAGCUUUAUUUUAUGAUCUAAAUCAGUAAAGAUGUAACGAAUUCUCAAUCACCAAAAUAAUGGACGCGGUUGUUAACUUCUUUUACGGAUACUUAUGCAGUACAUAACGACAUAUAAACAGAGAAAAUUGAUAUACACAGUCACUUAAAGUAAAAGAUUUGCCUACGAAUAUGGCAUUUUCCUGAGUAGUAAUUAGAGGUGACAUCUAUAACUGGCAGUUUGGUCCAAAGGUACUGGAGUCUUGUCCAGGUCUACGUAGGCAGGGAUCAAAUCUCUGGUUCAGUGGCAUCAAGAUAAAAGUGGAAACUUUCUAGCUUUUGAUCAAUUGCACUCUCCAGUGUAAAAUGAUGACUAAUGAUCAUUUAAUGGUAGGAGAGUACCUUUCUAAGAAAUUCAUAGGCUUGGUUACAGGCUUGUAAAACUGUAGACUGAGAAGCUUUUGCAGUCCUUGCAUAAGAAAAACCACUUGCCACUGGCAAAUCGACAAAUAUUAUGCUUGCCACCUGAAAAGUAACGAUACAUUAUGGUCAGUCUAGCAUUCAACUAAACACCAGAAAAUCGAAACAUUAUCAAACACUAUCAGUAGUGAACUAGUGAUAGAUCAGUAAUCUACUGUACAAUGAACUUUCUAUUUUUACUUCAGAGGAGUCUACCCUACCAGUAUAUCAUUGAUAUCUUUUGACCAACAAGGAAGAAAGACACUCGAGGAUGAGUUUACCUUAGUCCAAGAAUAGGGAUUUAACAGCAACUUGGGCAAAGUCCCAUGGUACAGCACUUGCUCGAAUUUUAUUGGCCCUGCAAAAUCACAGGUCAACGAGGAAUUGGUUGGGUUUUGGCGUGUUUCCGCUCCACUACAUACAUCAUUCAUACAGAGAGGAUUGGGUUUGAAACACUGAUGGGAAAAAGGGUGGAUAUUGAUGAAGCCAAAAUCUAUUGUCAGAAAAAUGGUUUCUUUUGCUCUUUUCCUGGACGUACGAUUGAAAACAAUCCUGAAUCCUUUGAAUAGGAUGUUUUACUGAGUCUUGCUUGUAUUCAUUAAUUAAAACAUGUAUACAAAUAUACGGGCCUCCCCAACUAGAUAUAUGUCUGGUGAAACAACCAAAAGGAAGAAGAAAAAAAUACAGGGGCCUAAUAUAGAAUCGCAAAGUACAUAAUUUAUGAAGCUAAGUUUCUGAACUGGCAAAAAGGGAUCUUUCAAGAUUUCAAGCUUGUGCAAAAGUCAAAGAUGAAAGGGUAUGGUGGAAUUAUGAAGAAAUCAGGAAAAGGGAUUACGUAUCAUCCAUGCUCUUAAUUCACACUCCAUACUUAUUAUCGGCGUGCACUAAAUCUACCUAUCUCAUAAGCAAGCCCAGAGAAUGAGGUGCAGCAAUUGCCUCCAGUCAACCAGAGCACAAGAGGGUCUGUUUCAGGACUGGACUCUGACUUGACAAAGUAGUAGAAAAGCUGCACAUCCUCUGAUUCAUCAACUCCUAUAUACCUGGUUGUACAAUCUCAAAACAACUUCAAUCUUUCCCAAGUUUAAAUCCACAUUAAUGCACCAGAAAUUAACUUACUGUUACAAAAAUAUUGAGUUACCCACCCGGUUUCGAGUUCAAAUGGCAGAGGUCCUUCGAAUCCUGGGAGAAACUUAACAGGGGAACCAGCCGAAGCAAGGUUUGAACAUAAUUGCACAAGAACUAGCGGCAAAAUCAGGUAGCUGAAGAGAGAGGAUCGAAUGAGAAUGCGUAGCUUCCCAGUUGAGCAGCUUGGCCUAACAUGUUCUGUCAUCUCUUUACUUGGCGGAGUAACUACUGUGUUUUCCAACUCCAAUAAUGGAUAUGCUUACAAUUCUGCUGAUGCCCGGCACUGACGCUCACUCUGGCUGUUUCUUCUCACAUCUUCUUUCCAUAAUAAAUAGAUUAAAAACUGGCUCCUCCAGAGUCCAAACGUGCCUAUU
Molecule: long non-coding RNA, 17319 nt
Filed under: Coffea arabica (coffee)
Lineage: Eukaryota; Viridiplantae; Streptophyta; Magnoliopsida; Gentianales; Rubiaceae
Description: long non-coding RNA (CARA_LNC007024)
Source: RNAcentral